UACGUAGGUGGCAAGCGUUGUCCGGAUUUACUGGGUGUAAAGGGCGUGUAGGCGGGAUGGAAAGUCAGAUGUGAAAUACCGAGGCUCAACCUCGGGGCUGCAUUUGAAACUUCCAUUCUUGAGUGCAGGAGAGGAAAGCGGAAUUCCUAGUGUAGCGGUGAAAUGCGUAGAUACUAGGAGGAACACCAGUGGCGAAGGCGGCUUUCUGGACUGUAACUGACGCUGAGGCGCGAAAGCAUGGGGAGCGAACAGG
RNAcentral lists this ribosomal RNA (253 nucleotides) under uncultured Acetivibrio sp. RNAcentral describes it as "partial 16S ribosomal RNA". It matches the Rfam family "Bacterial small subunit ribosomal RNA", at positions 524 to 776 of the family's 1533-position model. The record is from RNAcentral. Lineage: Bacteria; Bacillati; Bacillota; Clostridia; Acetivibrionales; Acetivibrionaceae.